Molecule: transfer RNA, 73 nt
Filed under: Stegodyphus mimosarum
Lineage: Eukaryota; Metazoa; Arthropoda; Arachnida; Araneae; Eresidae
Rfam family: tRNA
About the family: Transfer RNA (tRNA) molecules are approximately 80 nucleotides in length. Their secondary structure includes four short double-helical elements and three loops (D, anti-codon, and T loops).
Source: Rfam by way of RNAcentral
GUCUUUGUGGUGCAGUGGUCAGCACGCUCGGCACGUAUUCGAGAGGUCCGUGGUUCGAGUCCCGCCGAAGGCA